Molecule: transfer RNA, 74 nt
Filed under: Felis catus (domestic cat)
Lineage: Eukaryota; Metazoa; Chordata; Mammalia; Carnivora; Felidae
Rfam family: tRNA
About the family: Transfer RNA (tRNA) molecules are approximately 80 nucleotides in length. Their secondary structure includes four short double-helical elements and three loops (D, anti-codon, and T loops). Further hydrogen bonds mediate the characteristic L-shaped molecular structure. tRNAs have two regions of fundamental functional importance: the anti-codon, which is responsible for specific mRNA codon recognition, and the 3' end, to which the tRNAs corresponding amino acid is attached (by aminoacyl-tRNA synthetases). tRNAs cope with the degeneracy of the genetic code in two manners: having more than one tRNA (with a specific anti-codon) for a particular amino acid; and 'wobble' base-pairing, i.e. permitting non-standard base-pairing at the 3rd anti-codon position.
Source: Rfam by way of RNAcentral
ACCUGGCUGGCUCAGUUGGUGGAGCACGUAACUCUCAAUCUCAGGGGUUGUGGGUUCAAGCCCCACGUCGAGUG